Molecule: small nucleolar RNA, 136 nt
Organism: Arvicanthis niloticus (Nile rat)
Lineage: Eukaryota; Metazoa; Chordata; Mammalia; Rodentia; Muridae
Product: small nucleolar RNA SNORA17
Source: RefSeq, a predicted model, not a curated record
CCUGCUCCUAGAGGCAUCACAGCUGUGACUGUUAUAUCAUGUCACAUGUCAGUAGGUGGCAGAGAAGAGAGAGGCUAUGUCUAUGCUCAAGUGUGCUCUGACCUGUGAAUAUCUGAUUGAUUAGCAGCCUAACGUU